AAAGUCGUAACAAGGUUUCCGUAGGUGAACCUGCGGAAGGAUCAUUAACAAUUCGCGCUCCGGCGUGAUGCGUAUACCCUGCACUUUGAGCACCUUUUAUACUCCCCCCGGCGGGGCAACCCGCCGGACGGGACAACCCGCCGGACGGGACAACCACAAAACCCUUUGCAUUAGAAAUCAUGUCAGUACAAAACAAAAUAAAUUAAAACUUUCAACAAUGGAUCUCUUGGCUCUG
Molecule: unclassified non-coding RNA, 235 nt
Filed under: Ascomycota sp.
Lineage: Eukaryota; Fungi; Ascomycota
Description: partial contains small subunit ribosomal RNA, internal transcribed spacer 1, and 5.8S ribosomal RNA
Rfam family: Eukaryotic small subunit ribosomal RNA (bases 1-47)
Source: RNAcentral